GUAGACAUUUGAUAGAAGGGUAUUUGUGUUGCUUCCUCAGACAAUAGUGAGUGUGGACAUGUUCCCCAGUCUCUAGGCACGGAACCUGUCACUCAGAGAGGUGACAGUCACACAGCAGGUAGAAGAGGCACAGAGCUAGAUUCCAGCAGCUCACCCAGUCCAGAGCCGCCAGGUUACCCACAGACAUCUGUUCACACCACUUUCUCCUUAGAACUGGGGCCACUUAGAUUAGUGUCCUUGUCUGUGCCGCAGCUUAGCUCCUCACCUCAGUUCAGAUAUUUCACCAUGUCAACACAGUUGCACUAUGAGUAAUGUUAAGACUCUAGAAGCCUCUGCUUUGCUACCAAACCCUUGGAUGCUUUCAAAUCCAGUUAAGCUUUAAUCAGAUCUUUCUUGAAUUACUUUUGUGGCUAUAAGAUGUCUAUUAUAAAAAAUUCCAUUUAAGAAAACAAAAAGAUGCUUAUAAUCCCCUUACUUAAAAAUAGCAAUGUUAACUUGUAUAUUUCCUUAGUCUGUUUCUGGGAAGUGUGUAUUUGGAAAGUUGGUAUCAGCAUAGUGUCUUGUUCGUUUGGUGGUCAUUUAUGGUAACAAUUGGUGUCAUCAGAUUCUUUAAGUUAUUUUGAUAGUUUUAGAACAAUAUCUUGUUUUAUGCAUUAAGUCUUAAGUAUCAAACAUUACAAAAUUUUAGAUAAUUUCUUUAUUGUCUUAUACAUUGUUAAAAUUAAAUAAAAUCAAUAAUAUUUUUAGAUUUUUUUCUAAAAAUUACUUCAAAGCUUGACAUAAGUGAUUGGUACUUUACAUUGGUAAAAUUUUAUUCCUUUUGGAAGUUUUUUUAUCAAACAUUUGUAUACUCAAACAGUUGAUAUUUAUGAUAUCCUUUCAGUGCAAUUACUGAGAAUAAAACUAAGGGAAACUCCUACCUUGGCAAUGCUUACAGUUCAGUGCAGGUAAUGUGUAACAGGUACUGAAGUAAGGCAGCAAGCACUGUACUAAGAAGACACAAAGGGUACAUGAUGGAGUUUUGAGCAAAGAAUGAAGGGAAGACUUCCUAGCAUGACAUAUGAUCUGGGCCUCAAACCUGGAUAGGAUUGCAUGGGAGAAAGCUAGAAAGGGCACCUGAGGCUAAAGAAAUGGUGUAUAUAGUCAGCCAAAGAGAGCUGAGAGCAUCUGUUAUCUUUGUCAGUCAUGGGGCACAUCUGAGGGAACAACAGGCCAGUUGUGGCAGGUGACCUCCAGCAUGAUUACCAAUCAGUGUGUACCUGGCUCCAUGCUAAACUCCUUCUCUUAUAGAACCUUUGAGGUCACCUAACAGUCUUUUGAGCUGUUCACAUUUCCACAAGCAGGAGACUGAAGCUCAGGAGACUAAGUCACAAGCUCAUGUGAGGCAGGACCAAAACUCAAGCUAGAUCUGAAGCCCAUGCUUGCUUUGCUCCCACAUUUCUGUUCCUUGACGAAUGCUAUUCUUUAACUAGUUAGAGCCCCAUAUCUUGCUCUGCACGAAAGUCAACUGCAGAUGGAUCAAAUCUGUUAAUAUACAAAUGCUAAGACUGUUAGAGGGGAAAGUAGGGAAAACACUUGAAGAUGCAGGAAUGAGCAAGGACUUUCUGAAAUAAAGCCAGCAAUGGAAAGUAAAAAGUUUCUCCACAGCAAAAGACACAGUUGAUCAAGAGACAUCCUACGGAAUGGGAGGAAACUUUUGUUAGCUAUCCACCUUAUAGAAGAUUAAAACCUAGAAUAUUUCAAAAGC
RNAcentral lists this long non-coding RNA (1747 nucleotides) under Mus musculus (house mouse). RNAcentral describes it as "long non-coding RNA chr15:59486879-59488626". Lineage: Eukaryota; Metazoa; Chordata; Mammalia; Rodentia; Muridae. The record is from RNAcentral.